UAUCCAGACUCCUACGGGAGGCAGCAGUGGGGAAUAUUGGGCAAUGGGCGCAAGCCUGACCCAGCAACGCCGCGUGAAGGAAGAAGGCUUUCGGGUUGUAAACUUCUUUUCUCAGGGACGAAGAAAGUGACGGUACCUGAAGAAAAAGCAUCGGCUAACUCCGUGCCAGCAGCCGCGGUAAUACGGAGGAUGCGAGCGUUAUCCGGAUUUAUUGGGUUUAAAGGGUGCGUAGGCGGAAUAUCAAGUCAGCGGUAAAAAUUCGGGGCUCAACCCCGUCGUGCCGUUGAAACUGAUGUUCUUGAGUGGGCGAGAAGUAUGCGGAAUGCGUGGUGUAGCGGUGAAAUGCAUAGAUAUCACGCAGAACUCCGAUUGCGAAGGCAGCAUACCGGCGCCCAACUGACGCUGAAGCACGAAAGCGUGGGUAUCGAACAGGAUUAGAUACCCGUGUAC
This 450-nucleotide ribosomal RNA is filed under the name uncultured bacterium. Its description in RNAcentral is "bacterial SSU rRNA". It matches the Rfam family "Bacterial small subunit ribosomal RNA", at positions 328 to 793 of the family's 1533-position model. The record is from RNAcentral.